RNA transcript from Brassica napus (rape), 1536 nucleotides. It is a transcript of the gene named V-type proton ATPase subunit H-like, with no coding region annotated. The transcript has 9 exons. Lineage: Eukaryota; Viridiplantae; Streptophyta; Magnoliopsida; Brassicales; Brassicaceae. The record is from RefSeq and is a predicted model, not a curated record.
GGAUGGUCGAGCUUAUGUUCAGCUGUUCGUUACCAUCUUACGUGAUAUAUUUAAAGAAGAAACCGUGGAAUAUGUUUUGGCUUUGAUUUAUGAAAUGCUCUCAGCAAACCCAGCACGAGCUCGGUUAUUCCAUGAUCAAUCUUUGGCACAUGAGGAUACUUACGAGCCUUUCUUGAGGUUGCUGUCGAAGGGCAAUUGGUUCAUUCAAGAAAAAAAGCCGCAAGAUCCUUGCCUGGAUAAUAAGGUAUAGUUAUAGGCCAAAAGCUAGUGUUAUUGCAAAUGGAGAAGCUUCGGGUUCUAAGAAACAUAUUACUACAAUUGAUGAUUUACUCAGUGGAUUGGUGGAGUGGCUUUGUGCUCAGCUGAGGCAGCCUUCUCAUCCUACUCGUGGAGCUCCAGUUGCAAUCAGCUGCUUGUCCACACUGCUUAAGGAACCUGUUGUGAGAUCGUUAUUUGUUCAGGCAGAUGGGGUGAAGUUACUUGUCCCUUUGAUCUCCCCAGCAUCCACUCAGCAGUCUAUCCAGCUACUCUACGAAACAUGUCUCUGCAUUUGGCUUAUGUCCUAUUAUGAACCCACGAUAGAGUACUUGGCAACAUCUAGGACAAUGCUAAGGCUCACGGAAGUGGUCAAGAGCUCGACUAAGGAAAAGGUUGUGAGGGUAGUCAUAUUGACAUUCAUGAACUUGCUUCCAAAAGAUACAUUUGGUGCCUAGAUGGUUGAUCUUGGACUCCCACAUAUCAUCCACAGUCUGAAAACACAAGCAUGGAGUGACGAGGAUUUGCUGGACGCACUGAACCAACUAGAGGAAGAUCUAAAAGACAAGAUCAGGAAGCUGAGUUCCUUUGACAAAUAUAAGCAAGAGGUUCUUCUUGGCCAUCUUGACUGGAACCCAAUGCACAAAGAGGCCAACUUCUGGCGUGAGAAUGUCACUAGCUUUGAAGAAAAUGACCUCCAGAUACUGAGGGUCCUCCUCACAAUCUUGGAUACGUCAAGUGAUCCAAGAUCCUUGGCGGUGGCGUGCUAUGAUCUCUCGCAGUUCAUACAGUACCAUGCAGCGGGGAGAGUGAUCGUAACAGACCUCAAGGCGAAAGAGCGAGUGAUGAAACUGAUGGCUCAUGAGAACGCUGAGGUGACCAAGAACGCUCUCUUGUGCAUUCAGAGGCUUCUCCUUGGUGCCAAGUACGCUAGCUUCUUGCAAGUUUGAUGGGUGUCUUUCCAUGUUUUCUUUCUGUAUAAUGGGAAGUAACCAAAACACAAAGACUGUGUUUCAUUUUUAGUCAUGUGGAUUUGUUGUUCACACCAAACAAAACGUGCUUGUACACUCCCAAGACCAUCUCUUUUAUUAUAUGUCCUGGAAAAACCUGCUCUUGUAUGCUUAAAUAAUUGAUUUCUGCGAUGUGAUUUAUUUAUUCAAUAAAAAGAGCUUGAGGAAUGCUCUUGUUACAGAAAGCAAUAUUGGGCCGGUUUGUUGUAUGAGAAUGUUGUCAGAGCAUAAUGCAGAUGAGAGAUACAUGUAUAUGGUUUGAAUUCGGUUG